Molecule: long non-coding RNA, 460 nt
Organism: Talpa occidentalis (Iberian mole)
Lineage: Eukaryota; Metazoa; Chordata; Mammalia; Eulipotyphla; Talpidae
Exons: 3
Source: RefSeq, a predicted model, not a curated record
AGCACAGACCGGCCAAGAGGAUUGUCAGCCUGUGGAGCCAUAGCAACAGAGCCAAUUUUCAAAACCAUGGUGUCUUCCUUUGCUGCCUGAUUAACUGUAACACAAAAAGUAGAGUUAUGAGACAGUCAAUCUGUGCAUCACUUCAUGCAUACAGAGAAAUCUAUGAGUAAUGGGUAACAGAGUGGAGACACAUUCAGUAAGACCAACAUAGGCAACGAACCGGCACUGCAGAGGCUGCGGGCAGUCUCGCAUCCCAGCGCUCAAUGGCUGCGUCACCAGUACAAACUACAGUUACUACAAUAUUAAAAACAACCUAAACAACAGAAAACAAGGAUCUAUUGAAGAAAGUUACUUAAAAUCAGACCCCCCCAAAAAACUCUGAAGACAAUACCUUCAAUACUUGACUGCAUUUCUUCUGUUUUUGGAACAAAAAUUCUGAUUACACUUGUGUUGAUAUAAA